This 253-nucleotide ribosomal RNA is filed under the name uncultured bacterium. RNAcentral's name for it is "partial 16S ribosomal RNA". It matches the Rfam family "Bacterial small subunit ribosomal RNA", at positions 524 to 776 of the family's 1533-position model. The record is from RNAcentral.
UACGUAGGGUGCAAGCGUUAAUCGGAAUUACUGGGCGUAAAGCGUGCGCAGGCGGUUUUUUAAGUCAGAUGUGAAAGCCCCGGGCUCAACCUGGGAAUUGCAUUUGUGACUGCAAGGCUAGAGUACGGCAGAGGGGGAUGGAAUUCCGCGUGUAGCAGUGAAAUGCGUAGAUAUGCGGAGGAACACCAAUGGCGAAGGCAAUCCCCUGGGCCUGUACUGACGCUCAUGCACGAAAGCGUGGGGAGCAAACAGG